RNAcentral lists this ribosomal RNA (254 nucleotides) under uncultured bacterium. Its description in RNAcentral is "partial 16S ribosomal RNA". It matches the Rfam family "Bacterial small subunit ribosomal RNA", at positions 524 to 776 of the family's 1533-position model. The record is from RNAcentral.
UACGGGGGGAGCAAGCGUUGUUCGGAUUUACUGGGCGUAAAGGGCGCGUAGGCGGCCACCGCAAGCCGACUGUGAAAUCUCCGGGCUUAACCCGGAAAGGUCAGCCGAUACUGCGGGGCUAGAGUGCAGAAGGGGCAACUGGAAUUCUCGGUGUAGCGGUGAAAUGCGUAGAUAUCGAGAGGAACACCUGCGGCGAAGGCGGGUUGCUGGGCUGACACUGACGCUGAGGCGCGAAAGCUAGGGGAGCGAACGGG